This 444-nucleotide ribosomal RNA is filed under the name Triticum aestivum (bread wheat). Its description in RNAcentral is "partial small subunit ribosomal RNA". The record is from RNAcentral. Lineage: Eukaryota; Viridiplantae; Streptophyta; Magnoliopsida; Poales; Poaceae.
AUGCAGAGCGUGGCGCGGAUGGGCUGGGUCCUCGGCCCAUCAUCCUCAUUGUCUGCGCCUACAUCACCUACUACAUCGUUGUCCUCAUCUCCGACUACUACCGCUCGCCGGAACCCAUCCAUGGCAAACGGAACUAUACACCUGUACAUGGACGCCGUCCGCUCCUGGCUCGGGCCUACAGAUGUAGCUGUGUGUGGCAAUGCACAGUACACAGUUGUCUAUGCAUCACAGUUGGCACGGGCAUCAUGUCUGUGGUGCCCAGCAACUGCCGCCAUUAAAAGGGCCACGACGCGAACUGCAGCAGGAUGGGGCGAUGUACCUGGUGAUGUUCCGCCUUGCCGAGGUCGUCCUCUCAUAGUUCCCGGGCCUGGAGAUCGGCCACCUUUGUCUCCAUCAUCGCCGUUAUCAUGUCCUUCACCUACUCCUUCAUCGCGUUCUUCCUGA